This 500-nucleotide ribosomal RNA is filed under the name uncultured bacterium. RNAcentral's name for it is "partial 16S ribosomal RNA". It matches the Rfam family "Bacterial small subunit ribosomal RNA", at positions 30 to 523 of the family's 1533-position model. The record is from RNAcentral.
AUUGAACGCUGGCGGCAUGCCUUACACAUGCAAGUCGAACGGCAGCACGGGAGCAAUCCUGGUGGCGAGUGGCGAACGGGUGAGUAAUAUAUCGGAACGUGCCCAGUCGUGGGGGAUAACGUAGCGAAAGCUACGCUAAUACCGCAUACGAUCUAUGGAUGAAAGCGGGGGAUCGCAAGACCUCGCGCGAUUGGAGCGGCCGAUAUCAGAUUAGGUAGUUGGUGAGGUAAAGGCUCACCAAGCCGACGAUCUGUAGCUGGUCUGAGAGGACGACCAGCCACGCUGGGACUGAGGCACGGCCCAGACUCCUACGGGUGGCAGGAGUGGGGAAUUUUGGACAAUGGGCGCAAGCCUGAUCCAGCAAUGCCGCGUGCAGGAUGAAGGCCUUCGGGUUGUAAACUGCUUUUGUACGGAACGAAACGGCGAGCUCUAAUACAGUUUGCUAAUGACGGUACCGUAAGAAUAAGCACCGGCUAACUACGUGCCAGCCGCCGCGGUAA